CGUUCUGUAAGCCUGUGAAGGUGUGCUGUGAGGCAUGCUGGAGGUAUCAGAAGUGCGAAUGCUGACAUAAGUAACGAUAAAGCGGGUGAAAAGCCCGCUCGCCGGAAGACCAAGGGUUCCUGUCCAACGUUAAUCGGGGCAGGGUGAGUCGACCCCUAAGGCGAGGCCGAAAGGCGUAGUCGAUGGGAAACAGGUUAAUAUUCCUGUACUUGGUGUUACUGCGAAGGGGGGACGGAGAAGGCUAUGUUGGCCGGGCGACGGUUGUCCCGGUUUAAGCGUGUAGGCUGGUUUUCCAGGCAAAUCCGGAAAAUCAAGGCUGAGGCGUGAUGACGAGGCACUACGGUGCUGAAGCAACAAAUGCCCUGCUUCCAGGAAAAGCCUCUAAGCAUCAGGUAACAUCAAAUCGUACCCCAAACCGACACAGGUGGUCAGGUAGAGAAUACCAAGGCGCUUGAGAGAACUCGGGUGAAGGAACUAGGCAAAAUGGUGCCGUAACUUCGGGAGAAGGCACGCUGAUAUGUAGGUGAAGUCCCUCGCGGAUGGAGCUGAAAUCAGUCGAAGAUACCAGCUGGCUGCAACUGUUUAUUAAAAACACAGCACUGUGCAAACACGAAAGUGGACGUAUACGGUGUGACGCCUGCCCGGUGCCGGAAGGUUAAUUGAUGGGGUCAGCGCAAGCGAAGCUCUUGAUCGAAGCCCCGGUAAACGGCGGCCGUAACUAUAACGGUCCUAAGGUAGCGAAAUUCCUUGUCGGGUAAGUUCCGACCUGCACGAAUGGCGUAAUGAUGGCCAGGCUGUCUCCACCCGAGACUCAGUGAAAUUGAACUCGCUGUGAAGAUGCAGUGUACCCGCGGCAAGACGGAAAGACCCCGUGAACCUUUACUAUAGCUUGACACUGAACAUUGAGCCUUGAUGUGUAGGAUAGGUGGGAGGCUUAGAAGUGUGGACGCCAGUCUGCAUGGAGCCGACCUUGAAAUACCACCCUUUAAUGUUUGAUGUUCUAACG
RNAcentral lists this ribosomal RNA (1006 nucleotides) under Escherichia coli. RNAcentral's name for it is "partial 23S ribosomal RNA". It matches the Rfam family "Bacterial large subunit ribosomal RNA", at positions 1237 to 2227 of the family's 2925-position model. The record is from RNAcentral. Lineage: Bacteria; Pseudomonadati; Pseudomonadota; Gammaproteobacteria; Enterobacterales; Enterobacteriaceae.